AAAUAAAAGUGUCCAGGGAUGGGAAUCGAACCCACAGUGUUCCGCUUACCGGGCAGAUGCCAUGUCCACUAGGCUACAGUAUU
RNAcentral lists this transfer RNA (83 nucleotides) under Cordylochernes scorpioides. RNAcentral's name for it is "tRNA-Thr". The record is from RNAcentral. Lineage: Eukaryota; Metazoa; Arthropoda; Arachnida; Pseudoscorpiones; Chernetidae.